AUCCCUUCCCCUCCCCUCGAUGGAUUUCAGACAAAAUUCCUCUCUUACAUCGUCUGCAACUCCACGGCUCUUCCCAUAUUCUGCAUUCGGUUUCCUUCACUCCUCUGUUUCCUUUCAUUUGCAACUCUACAGCUCUACCAACCAUCACCGUCUUCAAUUUCAACUACACAAGUGGGUCUGUGGACAACAAGUAAGAUCAAUUUGAUUCAGAACAGAACCAACUGAUCGUGAGUAUGCACCUUUAAGAGCCACAUUGAAGCCAUCAUUUAUAUCAAGAGUCUCUACUCCAUGGUAUACUCUUCUUAGGAGGAUGCUUUCUUGGGAGUCUUUGUAUCGGGAAUCACAAUUUCACCGGUCUAUCAGGAGUCUCCUUUUUCUUCCUUCUACUUGUUCAUGAUUCAGAGACUCGCGCCAAAAUUUAUGCAAUAUCCUGGAAGAUUUGAAGCACAAGGAACCUGUCUCUUUGGCAAAACAAACACCUUUCCAGCACGAAAUCAUUAGCUUUGCUAUUCAGCUCCUUCAUGACUGGACUGCUGCUAGGGAAUCUGUAACACCCCUGAUUUUUAUAUA
Molecule: unclassified non-coding RNA, 570 nt
Filed under: Hevea brasiliensis (rubber tree)
Lineage: Eukaryota; Viridiplantae; Streptophyta; Magnoliopsida; Malpighiales; Euphorbiaceae
Source: RNAcentral